GGUGUCUUCGGACGCCGGCAUACGGCUCAGUAACACGUAGGUAACCUACCCUCAGGACUGAGAUAACCCCGGGAAACUGGGGCUAAUAUUAGAUAGAUAAAAGAUACUGGAAUGUUCUUUUAUCCAAAGCUUUUGCGCCUGAGGAUGGGCCUGCGUCCGAUUAGGUUGUUGGUGGGGUAAUGGCCCACCAAGCCUGCGAUCGGUACGGGCAGUGGGAGCUGAAGCCCGGAGUUGGGGACUGAGACAAGGCCCCAGGCCCUACGGGGCGCAGCAGGCGCGAAACCUCUGCAAUGCGGGAAACCGUGACAGGGGGAUCCCAAGUGCUCAUGCAUUGCAUGGGCUGUUCUUUGGUCUAAGUAACCAGAGGAGUAAGGGCUGGGCAAGACCGGUGCCAGCCGCCGCGGUAAUACCGGCAGCUCAAGUGGUAGCCGCGAUUAUUGGGCCUAAAACGUUCGUAGCCGGAUAAGUAAGUUUUUGGUUAAAUCCUGCGACUCAACCGUGGGAAUUCUAGAGAUACUGCUUGUCUUGAGACCGGGAGAGGUUGGAGGUACUCCUAGGGUAGGGGUGAAAUCCUGUAAUCCUAGGGGGACCACCUGUGGCGAA
RNAcentral lists this ribosomal RNA (603 nucleotides) under uncultured archaeon. Its description in RNAcentral is "bacterial SSU rRNA". It matches the Rfam family "Archaeal small subunit ribosomal RNA", at positions 62 to 670 of the family's 1478-position model. The record is from RNAcentral.